GACGAACGCUGGCGGCGUGCCUAACACAUGCAAGUCGAGCGGGGUUGAAGCGAGGGGUAACUCGGACUUCUACCUAGCGGCGGACGGGUGAGUAACGCGUGGGCAACCUGCCUCAAGGUUUGGGAUAACAGCUCGAAAGGGCUGCUAAUACCGGAUAUGCCUGUGGCCUCGCAUGGGGCUAUGAGCAAAGGGGAAACCCGCCUUGAGAUGGGCCCGCGUCCCAUCAGCUAGUUGGUGAGGUGAAGGCUCACCAAGGCGACGACGGGUAGCCGGCCUGAGAGGGUGACCGGCCACACUGGGACUGAGACACGGCCCAGACUCCUACGGGGGCAGCAGUGGGGGAUCUUGCACAAUGGGCGAAAGCCUGAUGCAGCGACGCCGCGUGAGCGAAGAAGGCCUUCGGUUGUAAGCUCUGUCUGGAGGGACGAGAAAUAGACGGUACCUCCGGAGGAAGCCACGGCUACUACGUGCCAGCAGCCGCGGUAAACGUAGUGUG
This 496-nucleotide ribosomal RNA is filed under the name uncultured bacterium. RNAcentral's name for it is "bacterial SSU rRNA". It matches the Rfam family "Bacterial small subunit ribosomal RNA", at positions 28 to 533 of the family's 1533-position model. The record is from RNAcentral.